CACGGUCCAGACUCCUACGGGAGGCAGCAGUGGGGAAUAUUGCACAAUGGGCGCAAGCCUGAUGCAGCCAUGCCGCGUGUGUGAAGAAGGCCUUCGGGUUGUAAAGCACUUUCAGUCGUGAGGAAGGUGGUGUAAUUAAUAGCUGCAUUAUUUGACGUUAGCGACAGAAGAAGCACCGGCUAACUCCGUGCCAGCAGCCGCGGUAAUACGGAGGGUGCGAGCGUUAAUCGGAAUUACUGGGCGUAAAGCGCAUGCAGGUGGUUUGUUAAGUCAGAUGUGAAAGCCCGGGGCUCAACCUCUGAAUUGCAUUUGAAACUGGCAGACUAGAGUACUGUAGAGGGGGGUAGAAUUUCAGGUGUAGCGGUGAAAUGCGUAGAGAUCUGAAGGAAUACCGGUGGCGAAGGCGGCCCCCUGGACAGAUACUGACACUCAGAUGCGAAAGCGUGGGGAGCAAACAGGAUUAGAUACCCUGGUAGUCCACGCCGUAAACGAUGUCUACUUGGAGGUUGUGGCCUUGAGCCGUGGCUUUCGGAGCUAACGCGUUAAGUAGACCGCCUGGGGAGUACGGUCGCAAGAUUAAAACUCAAAUGAAUUGACGGGGGCCCGCACAAGCGGUGGAGCAUGUGGUUUAAUUCGAUGCAACGCGAAGAACCUUACCUACUCUUGACAUCCAGAGAACUUUCCAGAGAUGGAUUGGUGCCUUCGGGAACUCUGAGACAGGUGCUGCAUGGCUGUCGUCAGCUCGUGUUGUGAAAUGUUGGGUUAAGUCCCGCAACGAGCGCAACCCUUAUCCUUGUUUGCCAGCGAGUAAUGUCGGGAACUCCAGGGAGACUGCCGGUGAUAAACCGGAGGAAGGUGGGGACGACGUCAAGUCAUCAUGGCCCUUACGAGUAGGGCUACACACGUGCUACAAUGGCGCAUACAGAGGGCAGCCAACUUGCGAAAGUGAGCGAAUCCCAAAAAGUGCGUCGUAGUCCGGAUUGGAGUCUGCAACUCGACUCCAUGAAGUCGGAAUCGCUAGUAAUCGUGGAUCAGAAUGCCACGGUGAAUACGUUCCCGGGCCUUGUACACACCGCCCGUCACACCAUGGGAGUGGGCUGCAAAAGAAGUAGGUAGUUUAACCUUCGGGG
Molecule: ribosomal RNA, 1130 nt
Filed under: Vibrio parahaemolyticus
Lineage: Bacteria; Pseudomonadati; Pseudomonadota; Gammaproteobacteria; Vibrionales; Vibrionaceae
Description: bacterial SSU rRNA
Rfam family: Bacterial small subunit ribosomal RNA
Source: RNAcentral